This 492-nucleotide ribosomal RNA is filed under the name uncultured bacterium. RNAcentral's name for it is "partial 16S ribosomal RNA". It matches the Rfam family "Bacterial small subunit ribosomal RNA", at positions 29 to 507 of the family's 1533-position model. The record is from RNAcentral.
AGUGAACGCUGGCGGUAGGCCUAACACAUGCAAGUCGAACGGCAGCACAGUAAGAGCUUGCUCUUACGGGUGGCGAGUGUCGGACGGGUGAGGAAUACAUCGGAAUCUACUUUUUCGUGGGGGAUAACGUAGGGAAACUUACGCUAAUACCGCAUACGACCUACGGGUGAAAGCAGGGGAUCUUCGGACCUUGCGCGAUUGAAUGAGCCGAUGUCGGAUUAGCUAGUUGGCGGGGUAAAGGCCCACCAAGGCGACGAUCCGUAGCUGGUCUGAGAGGAUGAUCAGCCACACUGGAACUGAGACACGGUCCAGACUCCUACGGGAGGCAGCAGUGGGGAAUAUUGGACAAAGGGCGCAAGCCUGAUCCAGCCAUACCGCGUGGGUGAAGAAGGCCUUCGGGUUGUAAAGCCCUUUUGUUGGGAAAGAAAAGCAGCAGGUUAAUACCCCGCUGUUCUGACGGUACCCAAAGAAUAAGCACCGGCUAACUUCGUG